Molecule: ribosomal RNA, 431 nt
Filed under: uncultured bacterium
Lineage: Bacteria
Description: partial 16S ribosomal RNA
Rfam family: Bacterial small subunit ribosomal RNA
Source: RNAcentral
AACGAACGCUGGCGGCAGGCUUAACACAUGCAAGUCGAACGCCCCGCCCGGGGAGUGGCCGACGGGUGAGUAACGCGUGGGAACAUACCCUUUUCUAAGGAAUAGCUCUGGGAAACUGGACUUAAUACCGUAUACGCCCUACGGGGGAAAGAUUUAUCGGUGAAGGAUUGGCCCGCGUUGGAUUAGCUGGUUGGUGGGGUAAAGGCCUACCAAGGCGACGAUCCAUAGCUGGUCUGAGAGGAUGAUCAGCCACAUUGGGACUGAGACACGGCCCAAACUCCUACGGGGGGCAGCAGUGGGGAAUAUUAGACAAUGGGCGCAAGCCUGAUCCAGCCAUGCCGCGUGAGUGAUGAAGGCCUUAGGGUUGUAAAGCUAUUUCACCGAUGAAGAUAAUGACGGUAGUCGGAGAAGAAGCCCCGGCUAACUUCGUG